RNAcentral lists this long non-coding RNA (368 nucleotides) under Capra hircus (goat). RNAcentral describes it as "lncRNA (ENSCHIG00010030313.1)". Lineage: Eukaryota; Metazoa; Chordata; Mammalia; Artiodactyla; Bovidae. The record is from RNAcentral.
AAGUGACAUGUCAGAGCUGCGAUUGCCUUCAGUAGUCCAGUUUUAAGUCCAAAGCCUUAAUCGUUCUUUCUGGAUACCCAGUACCUUAUAAUGCAGGUCUAUGGAAUUGGACUUCAGACCAAAGUCGACAGGUCUUUAAAAAGACCUGCACGUACCAGCUAACACCUAUGAUCGGUGUACGUCCCACAUUCCAGCCUUUUUGAGAUGAUCAGAUUACACUGGAGAGAAUUGCUGAGUGUAAAUAGUGGUGAAUUAUUCAAUUACCCAUCAUUAAUCUAUUGAACGAUAACCUCAAGAUAGAAAAUUCAAGGAAUUCUUCUAUGUAUUAAGAGCAUUAAAAUCCUCCUUUUCAACAACUCUUUCAGGUA